Molecule: long non-coding RNA, 1281 nt
Filed under: Monodelphis domestica (gray short-tailed opossum)
Lineage: Eukaryota; Metazoa; Chordata; Mammalia; Didelphimorphia; Didelphidae
Description: lncRNA (ENSMODG00000051220.1)
Source: RNAcentral
CCUCAAGGCCAGUUUUGAAGUUUGGAGCCCAAGUCUUGGUUAGAAUUCUGUUGUAAUUCCCAGGUGGGGGUUGAAAAUUUUAACUGCCAUAGAGAGAUAUGAGAUUCUGAGCAGUUUCUGACUGACUGGUUUUUGGAUCUGAACUUUGGUCCAAGAAGGAGCAUCUUUCUGGCUUUACCCUGGAUUUACCCUAUGGAAACAUUUUGGGAAUAACUGAGGGGCAGUUGAUCAUUUUGACUGAAGCUCUCUGGGAUCUUAGCUGGUCCCAGAAGCAGUGUCCUUUCUGAGUUUCUCGGUUUUUCCCUGUUACAAUUUGUGAAUACCAGGACUUCAUUGAUCAUGAGAAGAAACCAGAAGAUUUUGUUUUUCUCUGGGCUCUGAAGAAACCCAGAGCCAAAGCUGAACUUCUGCUGGGCUUCAACCAAUUUGCUCUAGCUGCUCUUUUGAUAAUUUGGAGAUAAAGAUUAAGAUGAAUAUAUUAUUCAUAAGUUAUUUAUGGAAAUAGAUUAUUUAGGUUUGGAAUCAAUACCAUAUUUGUGUCAUAAAAAAAUUCGUAAGAAUUUUUCUUUGCUUAUUUUGUCAAAUAAUUUGAAUUGUGCACACCCACACUACAUGGGCAUGUGCUAGUCAAUGACAAAUCAGAAAUAACUAACUGCCCACCUGGUCUGUCCUAAGCCAAGCUUGAGCCACCAUUGGCACUUGUGAGGCACAGGAAAUGAAGAAGGGAACAGCCUCUGGAAUUUGCACUUCCUGUGGACAUAGCUAGGUGUGAGUUCGUGCUAGGAGCUUGAGGAGGGAGGAAGCCCGCAGACAGCUUCCAUUCAGAUCGGUCAUGUGAGUCAAGGACUGAUUUUCUUCUCUACCUUGGCCCUUUAGGCCUAAAUUCCCUCUGGCUCAGCCAGAAGUUUGAGCUAACCAUUUCCCCUUUUCUCCUCUCUCCUUUUCUCCCUCUCCCCUUUUCUUACUCCCAUUGUGAUUAAACCACCAUACAUUCCAUUCUGACUUGAAUGCUUCAUUUAAGGAAUUUCAUGCGUAAAUUCCUUGGCGACCAUAAAUUAAUAUUAUAGCAACUUUUAAAGGUGAUUUUCACCUUAACAGUUAUAGAUGAUCACCCUCCUCUCUGAUAAUUAAGGAAUAAUUGAUCUUUGAAACUCACUUACCUCUAGUAUUCUUGGAUAAAAACAUUUUUACCCAGUCAGGAUUCCUCUGGUGAGCCUUCUCCUUAGAAAUCAAGUUACCCCAAACUUCAAUGCAGAAAAAUAAGAAUAGGAAACUCAUCCC